Pistacia vera is the source of this 911-nucleotide long non-coding RNA. RefSeq lists it as uncharacterized. The record is from RefSeq and is a predicted model, not a curated record. The transcript has 3 exons. NCBI's taxonomy places the organism in Eukaryota, Viridiplantae, Streptophyta, Magnoliopsida, Sapindales, Anacardiaceae.
UGAACCGGUCUGAUUGGGUUUUGGCCACGACUCUGGUCUAAUAACGCAAGAAACCAGGUUUCAUGCUUUGGCUCGCCUUAGACCUCUGUCGGACCGGCAAAACUAAAAACCCAUAAAACCAUUCUAAAUUUCUAAUUCUACAACUUCAUUCGUCUUCGUUCAUCUACGGUCUUCAUUCUUCUCCUCGUCAUGCCAAAUUAUCGAUCGACUAGCUUAGGGUGCUACACUCCAUCUGUCUUCCUCUGUCGGCCAUAUAAGAACAAAUCGGCGAAGAAGUUAGACGACUUGGCUGCCACGUGAAGAUCCAUAAAAAGAUUCUCCAGUUGCAUCUAGAAUUCCAUUGUCAGGAGCAUACCUCCAGAUUUUGGGGCCUCAAAUCCUGAAUUUCAAGAUCCAAUUGUCGUGAUGUUGGGGGUGGAGGAGAAAUGGUGCGUGGUGACAGGCAGGAUGGGAUUCCCCGUUCGCUAUUUGGUGAAAAUGUGUAUCAAAUAUGUUAUGCCUAAAAAUCCAGGGCUGACGUAAGCCCACAUCAGCAAGCAUCAAUCAAAGUUUAGGAAGGCUUUGCGCCGUCCAAGAGCUGACACGUCGCCCCAAGACAAAAAGAAUACGGCUGUCACCAAGCCAGCAGAUUCAGGUUUUGUCUAUGAGUGAAUGAGGACCACACACCUGUCCAAACCCCAAAUAAUUUUAGAAUAUCUCCUAAGUGAUCAAUCAAUGAGAUGCAAGGUAUGACUUACACGACACCUACCCACUUGUAGACUUGUAAUCAUCACCUCGAAUUCAAUAGCUAUAAAUAGAGGACUUCCCCCCUCGCAAAAUCGGGAUCUCUGAUUUUCAUAAUCUAAAAUAGCAAAGACAACCCACGGGAAAGAGACUGGCUUAAUAUUCUUUUUGAAUACACAGUCCUUGUA